GACGAACGCUGGCGGCGUGCCUAAUACAUGCAAGUUGAGCGCUGAAGGUUGGUACUUGUACCGACUGGAUGAGCAGCGAACGGGUGAGUAACGCGUGGGGAAUCUGCCUUUGAGCGGGGGACAACAUUUGGAAACGAAUGCUAAUACCGCAUAAAAACUUUAAACACAAGUUUUAAGUUUGAAAGAUGCAAUUGCAUCACUCAAAGAUGAUCCCGCGUUGUAUUAGCUAGUUGGUGAGGUAAAGGCUCACCAAGGCGAUGAUACAUAGCCGACCUGAGAGGGUGAUCGGCCACAUUGGGACUGAGACACGGCCCAAACUCCUACGGGAGGCAGCCGUAGGGAAUCUUCGGCAAUGGACGAAAGUCUGACCGAGCAACGCCGCGUGAGGGAAGAAGGGUUUCGGAUCGUAAAACUCUGUUGGUAGAGAAGAACGUUGGUGAGAGUGGAAAGCUCAUCAAGUGACGGUAACUACCCAGAAAGGGACGGCUAACUACGUG
This 497-nucleotide ribosomal RNA is filed under the name uncultured bacterium. RNAcentral describes it as "partial 16S ribosomal RNA". It matches the Rfam family "Bacterial small subunit ribosomal RNA", at positions 28 to 507 of the family's 1533-position model. The record is from RNAcentral.